This is a long non-coding RNA of Macadamia integrifolia, 1396 nucleotides long. RefSeq lists it as uncharacterized. Lineage: Eukaryota; Viridiplantae; Streptophyta; Magnoliopsida; Proteales; Proteaceae. The transcript has 2 exons. The record is from RefSeq and is a predicted model, not a curated record.
UUCAUUGCACUACCCUAACUUUACCUUACUAAAGCUAUGAUGACUUGUGGAAGGAUGAACCUUCAUCCUUAAUGAUUUGAUCACCGACUUCAUCCUUAGUGAUUGGAUCACUGACUUCUGAUGAAUAUGAAGUCUGGGUUAUGCAAGCCACAGGGAUCCCAAAUACCCCCCCCUUUUCCCCUCUCACUAAUAUAUUUGAAGUAAUGCAUCUAUAGCUUACUUUCUUGAAGUUAUUUGAUCUCAUCACUAUACACUGUUAGACCACCAUUGGUUCUGCCUAAGGAAUGCUGCUUUCUGGUAUUCAUGUUAUUAGAAUGCUUGGAUGGAGUUUUCAUGUAGGACUAGGUCAAAGAUAACCAAACCUACAGUACGAUCGUAGGUACUAGCUAACAGUAGGUUAAUAUGAGAUUCAGCAACGCAGUAACAUGAAAAAUUUAAAAGAAAAUAAAACAUAGAAGAAGAUGGAUAGAUUCGGGUUGAGCCUCUGAACCAUCCCUGGGCCUCUCACCUGCUCAUAGGGUCUCUCACCUCGCACUCCAUCUCGCAGCCAUUACAAUGGUUUCAAUACGCAAGGAAGCAAUUGUCUUGAACUCAAUCUACUCCACUCAAGUUGUCAUGAGCCCACCAAUUCUGGAAGUCCACAAUCGAAAGCAACCCGACAUCCAAAAACGGCUGGCACUGGAUCCACAGGCAAGUCUGGAAACAUCUUCCUUCAAUUGGUAAACCGAUGGCUAAUACCUUCCCUAAACAAAGCUGAUUGCUAUUCACUAAAUCUGGAACAAUAUUCUGGAGAGUAUCAUCCUCCAAUUAAGGCUGGUCAAUCAGGGUAUGAACAUGGACAGAUUGGUGUUGAAUAUUUCUCUCAACCACCAUCGAUCUACAUCAAGUUUAGCCUCAAAGAAAUGUUUUUUGUUAUUCCGUGAGGCAGGGACCUCUUUGUGACAACUUUUCAUAGAUAUUUUUUGUAGAACAUUCACUGUACUUGUCGGCAGGAGAAAAAUUGAUAUAUCAGACGUAAUAUUUUGUCUAAAGUAGCUGCUGAGAAAUUUCUGCUGUUUUCCAAUUCUUUGUUGCCAGUAGUAGUUGUCACUGUUGAUAUAUACUGAGCUGAGUAAUUCUUGUUCAACAAUUUUAACAGUAAUCUGCAAUGGAUAAAGUAUAAGAGAAGGAAGAGGAACAGAAGAAGAAAAUAUGAGAACAUGGUGGAAGCGAGGAAUUGACAGGGAGAAGAAUUGCCCUACUCGAUAUCCCUCUCAAUGUAUAUAUGUUUCUGUUAUAAUAAGAGAACUACAGGAAUAACCUCACUCAAACAAGUUCAGAAUAUUAUAGCUUAAGCCCUAUGGCACCAAUAACCAUAUAUCUCAUCAUUAAAAAAAAAAAAAAAAAAAAAAAAAAA